This is a long non-coding RNA of Myzus persicae (green peach aphid), 1717 nucleotides long. RefSeq lists it as uncharacterized. The record is from RefSeq and is a predicted model, not a curated record. The transcript has 2 exons. Lineage: Eukaryota; Metazoa; Arthropoda; Insecta; Hemiptera; Aphididae.
UAACAUGUAUAUAUAUAAUAUAAGUAAAGUUUCUUAUAAAAAUAAAAGCAAUUUAGAUUGGCAUUUAUCUGAUGGUCAAUGUCUUCAAUUGCCGCUUUUAUACUCUAAAACAGUGGUGAUCAACCUUUUUCUACCUUGGGCCAUAAAAAAAAUCUAGGCUGCAAAAAGCUUAAACUUUUACGUUUUGUUGAAUAUUAUAUUUUAUUGUUGGCACGUCUUAGUAUAGGUACAUCAAUAAAUGUUCAGCCUAUUAUUCAGAUGAUGAGUAAUGUGAAUAAUUCAUUCACAUUAAAUUGUACAAACAUUACAUUUUUAGUAACUUUUUCAAUUUUGAUUUAAUUUUAACACUGGUGGACCGUUUAAUAAAUUAUUGUACUUGGUUACCACUACUCUAUACCGAAUGAGAUUGGAAAAAGUAGCUUUGGAAUGGCAGGACUGCUGUGAUUGACAGCAGGAGUUGGAAACCGAAAAGAUUACAUGCGCCAACAGUAACUCGUUUCUAUUUGAAUUUUUUUUAUCGUUACUUAUUUGGGAUAAAGUCUAGUUCAUAAUAUAAAGAAGAAAUAAAAAAUGAUAUUUAUUUAUUUUAAAUUUUUAACAUACAUAAGUUUUUAAGUUUGUGUUUAUUCCCAUCAACCAAAAAUAUUGUACUUAUUAAAAUGUAUUCAAUUAAGGUCUUAACAAAAUGUGACAUGCUAUUAGAUAUAUUCCAUCACCCAAAAACCAUUUCUAUGAGUUCCCAAAUUUCCUCACAGAGAAAAAAAUAUCUAGUAGCAUGUUAUUUCCUCACUCCUCACGAUUUGCCACUUGUGCAAUGUAUAUGCUAUAUUAUAUUCAUAACACAACUGGGGUAGACGAAUUACAAUAAUUUAAUGAUAGGUACACCUUAAUUUUAAACAGAAACUACUAACUUAUUGGUAAAAAAAAUUUAAGAAAAAUCACAGUAAAAACAUACAUAUUAUUAUUAUAUCAGUGAAACCCCCAAAUACCGGACACUCGGUCACUUAAAUGGUGUCUGUUAGGGGAGGUUUCACUGUAUUUUUAAUUUUUAUUUUACCUAGUAAAAUUUUAAAAAAAUACUUAAAUUAAUUAUUAAAGUAUUUGAUUUUCAAAUACCGAUAUCACUAGAAAAUACUUUCUUGAAGUGCUUUUAAUCAAGUAUUUUACAAAGGCACAAAGCUGAAUAUUAACCAUACAAAUUAAAAUAAAUAUUUAAAAGGUAUAAAAACAAUCGAUUUAUGACAUAGAGUAAUACUCUAUGCGCGAACCUUUCAUCUCCGUAAAAAAACCAGUUCACGCACCACGGAUAUUUUGUCCUUAGGAGUUAUUAGCCAUAGAACGUUUAGUCUCCAGCAUAAUAUAUUGAUGAUAAUACAUUCUGUUCUCAUAUUAUCAUUAUUAUUAAUUUCUCAAAAGUUCAUUCUUUCCCUAAAAAUAUGUGUGCGUUUAUUUUUAAUGAACAAUUAAAAAUAAUAAAAAAAAAAAUGCUUGAAAAAUGAAUUAUUUCCAAUAUACCUUGGUAUAUACGCUAAAGGUACUGGUUCUUCCCUCGAUCAAGACACCCAAGCCACUGGAGUACUGGACCUAAUUUAAUUUAAGAAACAUCCACUAUGCUUAUUGUACUUUUUUGAUGUAUAGAUAGUAUAAAUUCUAGAUAAAAAAAAUUGUUCAUUAAAAAUUAAUGUAUUUAUUGUUAGUGAAAUAAAGAACUUUUGAA